Non-coding RNA from Triticum urartu, 139 nucleotides. NCBI's taxonomy places the organism in Eukaryota, Viridiplantae, Streptophyta, Magnoliopsida, Poales, Poaceae. The record is from Rfam.
CCCAUCGAUGACGAUGAGCUAGUCUCCUACAUCACCACCGGCUUCGACAUGGAGUACCAUCCCCUCAUCUCCGCCAACGACGCCCGCACCGACACCAUCAGCCUCGACGAUCUCUACGCUCAGAUGAGCAACUUUGAUC